RNAcentral lists this ribosomal RNA (426 nucleotides) under Kitasatospora xanthocidica. RNAcentral's name for it is "bacterial SSU rRNA". It matches the Rfam family "Bacterial small subunit ribosomal RNA", at positions 711 to 1135 of the family's 1533-position model. The record is from RNAcentral. Lineage: Bacteria; Bacillati; Actinomycetota; Actinomycetes; Kitasatosporales; Streptomycetaceae.
GGUGGCGAAGGCGGAUCUCUGGGCCAUUACUGACGCUGAGGAGCGAAAGCGUGGGGAGCGAACAGGAUUAGAUACCCUGGUAGUCCACGCCGUAAACGUUGGGAACUAGGUGUUGGCGACAUUCCACGUCGUCGGUGCCGCAGCUAACGCAUUAAGUUCCCCGCCUGGGGAGUACGGCCGCAAGGCUAAAACUCAAAGGAAUUGACGGGGGCCCGCACAAGCAGCGGAGCAUGUGGCUUAAUUCGACGCAACGCGAAGAACCUUACCAAGGCUUGACAUAUGCCGGAAACACCUGGAGACAGGUGCCCCCUUGUGGUCGGUAUACAGGUGGUGCAUGGUUGUCGUCAGCUCGUGUCGUGAGAUGUUGGGUUAAGUCCCCGCAACGAGCGCAACCCUUGUUCUUGUGUUGCCAGCAUGCCUUUCGGG